CCUACGGGAGGCUGCAGUGGGGAAUCUUGGACAAUGGGCGCAAGCCUGAUCCAGCCAUGCCGCGUGAGUGAUGAAGGCCUUAGGGUUGUAAAACUCUUUCGCCGAGGACGAUAAUGACGGUACUCGGAGAAGAAGCUCCGGCUAACUUCGUGCCAGCAGCCGCGGUAAUACGAAGGGGGCUAGCGUUGUUCGGAUUUACUGGGCGUAAAGCGCGUGUAGGCGGACUUGUAAGUUGGGGGUGAAAUCCCGAGGCUCAACCUCGGAACUGCCUCCAAAACUACAAGUCUGGAGCAAGAUAGAGGCAAGUGGAAUUGCGAGUGUAGAGGUGAAAUUCGUAGAUAUUCGCAGGAACACCAGUGGCGAAGGCGACUUGCUGGAUCUUUGCUGACGCUGAGACGCGAAAGCGUGGGGAGCAAACAGGAUUAGAUACCCCUGUAGUC
This 440-nucleotide ribosomal RNA is filed under the name uncultured bacterium. RNAcentral's name for it is "bacterial SSU rRNA". It matches the Rfam family "Bacterial small subunit ribosomal RNA", at positions 338 to 795 of the family's 1533-position model. The record is from RNAcentral.